UGGGGAAUAUUGGACAAUGGGGGCAACCCUGGAUCCAGCAAUGCCGCGUGUGUGAAGAAGGCCUUCGGGUUGUAAAGCACUUUUAUCCGGAACGAAACGUGCGGGGUGAAUAGCCUCGUAAACUGACGGUACCGGAGGAAUAAGCACCGGCUAACUUCGUGCCAGCAGCCGCGGUAAUACGAAGGGUGCAAGCGUUACUCGGAAUUACUGGGCGUAAAGGGUGCGUAGGUGGUUUUUUAAGUCUGCUGUGAAAUCCCCGGGCUCAACCUGGGAAUGGCAGUGGAUACUGGAAAGCUGGAGUGCGGUAGAGGGUAGUGGAAUUCCCGGUGUAGCAGUGAAAUGCGUAGAGAUCGGGAGGAACACCAGUGGCGAAGGCGGCUACCUGGACCAGCACUGACACUGAGGCACGAAAGCGUGGGGAGCAAACAGGAUUAGAUACCCCUGGUAGUCCACGCCCUAAACGAUGCGAACUGGAUGUUGGGUGCAACUUGGCACUCAGUAUCGAAGCUAACGCGUUAAGUUCGCCGCCUGGGGAGUACGGUCGCAAGACUGA
Molecule: ribosomal RNA, 553 nt
Filed under: uncultured bacterium
Lineage: Bacteria
Description: bacterial SSU rRNA
Rfam family: Bacterial small subunit ribosomal RNA
Source: RNAcentral